GCACUUAUCUUUGAUUCUUCGGAUGAAGAGAUUUGUGACUGAGUGGCGGACGGGUGAGUAACGCGUGGGUAACCUGCCUCAUACAGGGGGAUAACAGUUAGAAAUGACUGCUAAUACCGCAUAAGACCACAGAGCCGCAUGGCUCGGUGGGAAAAACUCCGGUGGUAUGAGAUGGACCCGCGUCUGAUUAGGUGGUUGGUGGGGUAACGGCCUACCAAGCCAACGAUCAGUAGCCGACCUGAGAGGGUGACCGGCCACAUUGGGACUGAGACACGGCCCAAACUCCUACGGGAGGCAGCAGUGGGGAAUAUUGCACAAUGGGGGAAACCCUGAUGCAGCGACGCCGCGUGAGCGAAGAAGUAUUUCGGUAUGUAAAGCUCUAUCAGCAGGGAAGAAAAUGACGGUACCUGACUAAGAAGCACCGGCUAAAUACGUGCCAGCAGCCGCGGUAAUACGUAUGGUGCAAGCGUUAUCCGGAUUUACUGGGUGUAAAGGGAGCGUAGACGGCUGUGUAAGUCUGAAGUGAAAGCCCGGGGCUCAACCCCGGGACUGCUUUGGAAACUAUGCAGCUAGAGUGUCGGAGAGGUAAGUGGAAUUCCCAGUGUAGCGGUGAAAUGCGUAGAUAUUGGGAGGAACACCAGUGGCGAAGGCGGCUUACUGGACGA
RNAcentral lists this ribosomal RNA (665 nucleotides) under uncultured Lachnospiraceae bacterium. Its description in RNAcentral is "bacterial SSU rRNA". It matches the Rfam family "Bacterial small subunit ribosomal RNA", at positions 64 to 736 of the family's 1533-position model. Lineage: Bacteria; Bacillati; Bacillota; Clostridia; Lachnospirales; Lachnospiraceae. The record is from RNAcentral.